AUUGAACGCUGGCGGCAGGCCUAACACAUGCAAGUCGAACGAGGGGCGGACGGGUGAGAAGUGUAGGGGAAACGGCCCGAUGGAGGGGAUUAACUACUGGAAACAGUAGCUAAUACGGCAUACCAUCGGUGGUGCAUGGAUGGGAUUGGCUAGUAGGUGUGGUAAUGGCGCACCAAGGCGACGAUCCAUAGCUGGUCUGAGAGGAUGACCAGCCACACUGGAACUGAGACACGGUCCAGACUCCUACGGGAGGCAGCAGUGGGGAAUAUUGCGCAAUGGGCGCAAGCCUGAUGUAGCAAUGCCGCGUGUGUGAAGAAGGCUUUCGGGUCGUAAAGCACUUUCAGCGGGGAGGCGGUACCCGAAGAAGAAGCAACGGCUAACUCCGUGCCAGCAGCCGCGGUAAUUC
RNAcentral lists this ribosomal RNA (406 nucleotides) under uncultured bacterium. RNAcentral describes it as "partial 16S ribosomal RNA". It matches the Rfam family "Bacterial small subunit ribosomal RNA", at positions 29 to 526 of the family's 1533-position model. The record is from RNAcentral.